GAGAGGGAUAGCUGGGACAAACGGUGGUUUCAUUCCAAGUUUUCUAAGGCAUCUCCACACUGCUUUCCAGAUUGGUUGUACCAACUUACAGUCCCACCAGCAAGGUAUGUGUGUUCCUUUUUCCCCAAAUCCUCACCAACACUUUCUGUUGGUUGUAUUCUUGAUAACUGCAAUUCUGACCGGAGUGAGAUGAAAUCUUAAGGUAAUUUUGAUUUAAAUAUGCUAUUCUCUUGUCAUCUGGACACCAUUGUCUCUAAUGAGAAGUCAUAAGUUAUUGUGUCCUUGUUACCCACUCUAUGAAAUGUGUCAUUUUUUUCCCAUGAUGACUUUUAGUACUGUCCCUAACCUUAAUUUUUAGCAUUUUGGUUUUAUUUGUGUUUAUCUUGUUUAGGGUUUAUAAAACUUACUGAAUUUUUAAGUUGAUCUUUCCCCAAUUUGAAGUAUUUUAGGUCUUCAAAUACUUCUUUAAAAAAACAUUCUGAUCAAUUCUCU
RNAcentral lists this long non-coding RNA (492 nucleotides) under Marmota monax (woodchuck). Lineage: Eukaryota; Metazoa; Chordata; Mammalia; Rodentia; Sciuridae. The record is from RNAcentral.